This 66-nucleotide transfer RNA is filed under the name Anagonalia emeiensis. RNAcentral's name for it is "tRNA-Asn". The record is from RNAcentral. Lineage: Eukaryota; Metazoa; Arthropoda; Insecta; Hemiptera; Cicadellidae.
UUAAUUGAAACCAAAUAGAGGUAGCUUAUUGUUAAUAAGUAAAUUGAAAAAGAAAUUCCAAUUAAA